RNAcentral lists this ribosomal RNA (305 nucleotides) under uncultured bacterium. Its description in RNAcentral is "partial 16S ribosomal RNA". It matches the Rfam family "Bacterial small subunit ribosomal RNA", at positions 505 to 807 of the family's 1533-position model. The record is from RNAcentral.
ACAGCAGCAGCCGCGGUAACACGAAGGGGGCUAGCGUUGCUCGGAAUUACUGGGCGUAAAGAGCACGUAGGCGGAUCUUUAAGUCAGGGGUGAAAUCCCGAGGCUCAACCUCGGAACUGCCUUUGAUACUGGGGAUCUCGAGUCCGGGAGAGGUGAGUGGAACUGCGAGUGUAGAGGUGAAAUUCGUAGAUAUUCGGAAGAACACUAGUGGCGAAGGCGACUCACUGGCCCGUUACUGACGCUGAGGCGCGAAAGCGUGGGGAGCAAACAGGAUUAGAUAUCCGCGUAGUCCCUGUCUCUUAUAC